GCCUGAUUGAGCUUGUCCUCCAUGGGAGCGAAGCUAGCCUAGAGCAGGGGCCCGUGAGUGACCAUCAGGAAGGUUCCGGAACAGGUGAGUGUCCCACCCCAGUUCCUGCUCCACGGGGCCAGCAAAGGGAAGCCCCAGCUACUGAAACCCACACCAGUGGUUCUGUUAGAGAGGCACCAGGCAGGACUCCCAACAGGACCAACUCAAGUGACGACAGACACAAAUACGGGACACGUGUGUCCUCUUGUCCUCAUUACAAAAGCAAUAGUGAUCGGUCAGUGAAAUGGAGAGAGGACCAAGAGAAACGAAUCAGGAUGCAUGACACCCUGGCUUACGGCCCUAUUGGGGGGGGGGCAGUCCUGUUUUUCAACAAGAAUGGGCCCUGUGCCACACUCACUGCUUUGCAACGCACUCUAUCAACAACUGCUAUGAACCACUUCUAAGGUCAGUGAUGUCCUCCUGCCACCCAAACACUCACCUCAGCAGAUGGGACAAAACAAAUCACGUGUCUCAAGACAAUAAAGUAAUAAGCAGUCACUCAGACGAGAGAAAGCUUUAGGAAACACCAAAACCGACCUACAAAGCCAUCGUGAAAUGCUGCUGAAUGAGGCAAGCGGGCUGCAGAGUAAUGGAAAAUGCACGUCUACGACCACCACUGAAUGGCCACACUGCACUGCCCUAUGUGUUACAUCAUCCUGUAACUAACCCAGCUAACCUGGGGGCUGUCUUUACCACACUCCCACCAGAGUGGCUAAAGUGAAAAGUCUGACAGUGCCAAGUGUUGACGAGGAGACAUGGAGCAACUGGGAACUCACGUGCCCCAGUGGGAGUCUUGAACGCGGAAUACUCGGCCGUUUGCCGGUGCAGUCUCUCCACCAGGCUGUCCCGGUCUUCCCGCAUCUUCUCCUCCAGGGUCUGCUGUUGGUUUACGAGAUCCGUCACU
Molecule: non-coding RNA, 943 nt
Organism: Miniopterus natalensis
Lineage: Eukaryota; Metazoa; Chordata; Mammalia; Chiroptera; Miniopteridae
Source: RefSeq, a predicted model, not a curated record